This 112-nucleotide ribosomal RNA is filed under the name uncultured eukaryote. RNAcentral's name for it is "partial small subunit ribosomal RNA". It matches the Rfam family "Eukaryotic small subunit ribosomal RNA", at positions 1676 to 1785 of the family's 1831-position model. The record is from RNAcentral.
UCGCUACUACCGAUUGAAUGUCUUAGUGAGUAAUACGGACCGAGUAAUCAACAGGCUCUGUCUGCUUGAAUAUUUGGGAAGUAUCGCAAACUUGAACAUUUAGAGGAAGUAA